UCCAUUAGCUACACUGUGCUGACGAGCCCCAAAAGGGCGAAACAGCUGUCCACAGUUUGCUAAUGUGAGCAGG
RNAcentral lists this small RNA (73 nucleotides) under Paramuricea clavata. Lineage: Eukaryota; Metazoa; Cnidaria; Anthozoa; Malacalcyonacea; Plexauridae. The record is from RNAcentral.